RNAcentral lists this ribosomal RNA (253 nucleotides) under uncultured bacterium. RNAcentral describes it as "partial 16S ribosomal RNA". It matches the Rfam family "Bacterial small subunit ribosomal RNA", at positions 524 to 776 of the family's 1533-position model. The record is from RNAcentral.
UACGGGGGGGGCAAGCGUUGUUCGGAAUUACUGGGCGUAAAGGGCUCGUAGGCGGCCAACUAAGUCAGACGUGAAAUCCCUCGGCUUAACCGGGGAACUGCAUCUGAUACUGGAUGGCUUGAGUUCGGGAGAGGGAUGCGGAAUUCCAGGUGUAGCGGUGAAAUGCGUAGAUAUCUGGAGGAACACCGGUGGCGAAGGCGGCAUCCUGGACCGACGCUGACGCUGAGGAGCGAAAGCCAGGGGAGCAAACGGG